UACGUAGGGUGCAAGCGUUAAUCGGAAUUACUGGGCGUAAAGCGUGCGCAGGCGGCUUUGCAGGACAGAUGUGAAAUCCCCGGGCUUAACCUGGGAACUGCAUUUGUGACUGCAUGGCUGGAGUGCGGCAGAGGGGGAUGGAAUUCCGCGUGUAGCAGUGAAAUGCGUAGAUAUGCGGAGGAACACCGAUGGCGAAGGCAAUCCCCUGGGCCUGCACUGACGCUCAUGCACGAAAGCGUGGGGAGCAAACAGG
Molecule: ribosomal RNA, 253 nt
Filed under: uncultured bacterium
Lineage: Bacteria
Description: partial 16S ribosomal RNA
Rfam family: Bacterial small subunit ribosomal RNA
Source: RNAcentral